UGAAGACCCACGUCGUCACACAUACAAUUGUACAAUUCCUAUAGGAUUUUUUUUUUUCUAAGCAAUUCCUAUAGGAUUGAACAACACAUAAACAUAAAGGUUUGCUUUUUUUAAUUUAUAUAAUGGGAAAGGCAUAAUUAUAGGAGGAGAGUUGGGAGGAGAUGAGUAAAUCAAAUGAUCAGUAAUGGAUGGAAAUUGCAGAAGGAGAGUUGUUUUGAUGGUGAUGGUGUUUACAAUGCUAAUCAUAGUGGAAGCCAAUGCCCCUCCACUUCCUCGUCGCUUUCUGUCUUUCUGGGUAUACGAUACUAACUGUUUUAAUCGCUGCUCAAAGAAUUGCCUCAUCAAAAAUGCUUCACAAAAGAUUGAAAGAAUUUGCGUGCUGGGAUGUAUCCUCAGCUGCCUCGUAGAAGAGGUACAUCACAAGAAAUGACCGAAUCAUUGAGCACCAAUUUCACAUCUGGUACCGCUGAUGUCGACGAUGACCUAGUGGCUUUAUAUUUGUGAUACUACGACUAAAGCAUGUCACGACGGUUGUAGGAGUUGGACUUAUGGUUAAUCCAAGUUUUUUAGAGACAUUUUAUAUAUGACUUGUGUCACAUGUGACACUUGUUUUGUACAACCAUUCUUUGAGUAAUUAAUAUUUUAAUUAAACUUUAAACAGAAAGACAAUGUAUUGGGUCUAUUGAUGUAAUCUAGAUUUGCCAACUUAUGAGAUUUAAUUUCCGCUGCAUAGAUGGUGAUUCUGGUA
Long non-coding RNA from Alnus glutinosa, 748 nucleotides. RefSeq lists it as uncharacterized. The transcript has 2 exons. The record is from RefSeq and is a predicted model, not a curated record. NCBI's taxonomy places the organism in Eukaryota, Viridiplantae, Streptophyta, Magnoliopsida, Fagales, Betulaceae.